CAGACAUCGCCCUAGAAACCGGACUGAAUGGGCAUUGCUGUGAGAUUGCAUCUUGCCCAGUAUCACAUAGAUCACCAGAGAACAAGGAGCGGAGCAGGCUGUGCACAUGCAUCGGAUGACCCUGCACAGAGGCAGAGGAACGCCGGAUAAAACGUCAGACGGAGGGCAUCCCGAGGAAGCUGAUAAUAGGUGGACCCAGGCGAGUUUAAUCUUGGGGGGGAGGGGGAUGAAAAAAAACAACCACACAAAUGAAAAAGUGGGAGAAUGGGAUGCUCUUCAUCUUCUUACAUCGGAGAACAAUGAGUUAAGUAAACAAACAUGUUCUAGGGAUCAUUUCUAACUUUUAUCCAAGAUUGGGUCUCAAAGAGCACCUGAAAGCGCAUGGAUGAUAUCCUCGUGGAGCCAGCCUUCAAGCUAAUUCCAUCUUGUUCAGCAGCUCCCAUCCUCUGGAGUAGGGGUCCCCAGCGCCCCGCCCCGCCCCACCGCUGCCCCUGCCCCGCGAAGCCAGCCUGAGCUCCGCCUCCCAUCUUCUCCCCGCCCCUUGCACUGAGGGCCAGAGCCUGAAGCUCAACUGAGCUCGGAGCUCUGCCUCCUGCUUGUGCCACCUGCACUGCAGCCCCUACCCCCACCGCCGCCAGCCUCUUCCAUCUUCCGCAAAACCGGCCCUUGGUGCAAAAAAAAGUCGGGGACCACUGCUCUGAAGGACGGAACCAGCUGGGAUGUAUUUUCUCUUGUGGGGAGAGUACAUGUGGCUGCCAAAGCCACAGAUGUUCUAGUUGGCAGUAAGUGUUUUGCGGACCAAGAUGUGUUUGAAUGGAACAAAAAAAAAAGGCAAUUUCCAAUUACUCACAAGCCUGAGCAAAUAAAUUUCACACUAAUUAAAGGAA
Phyllostomus hastatus (greater spear-nosed bat) is the source of this 887-nucleotide long non-coding RNA. RefSeq lists it as uncharacterized. The transcript has 2 exons. NCBI's taxonomy places the organism in Eukaryota, Metazoa, Chordata, Mammalia, Chiroptera, Phyllostomidae. The record is from RefSeq and is a predicted model, not a curated record.